GACGAACGCUGGCGGCGUGCCUAAUACAUGCAAGUCGAACGCAUUUUCUUUCACCGUAGCUUGCUACGCCGAAAGAAAAUGAGUGGCGAACGGGUGAGUAACACGUGGGUAACCUGCCCAUCAGCGGGGGAUAACACUUGGAAACAGGUGCUAAUACCGCAUAAUUCCAUUUACCGCAUGGCAGAUGGAUGAAAGGCGCUUUUGCGUCACUGAUGGAUGGACCCGCGGUGCAUUAGCUAGUUGGUGGGUAACGCUACCAAGGCUGCGAUGCAUAGCCGACUGAGAGGAUGAUCGG
RNAcentral lists this ribosomal RNA (295 nucleotides) under uncultured bacterium. RNAcentral's name for it is "partial 16S ribosomal RNA". It matches the Rfam family "Bacterial small subunit ribosomal RNA", at positions 28 to 307 of the family's 1533-position model. The record is from RNAcentral.